AAAGUCGUAACAAGGUUUCCGUAGGUGAACCUGCGGAAGGAUCAUUAUUGAUGGUUUUGAAAGGAUGUGCUGGCUUCUGUUCGGGGGCAAUGUGCACUCCUUCAGAAAAUGCAAUUUUAUCCACCUGUGCACUCUCAGUAGGCAAUGGGGACCCUUCGCAAAGUCCCUUUGUCUAUGUUUUUUUUUUAACAAACACUUUGAACUAUUUGAAUGCCUUGUCAAAUAACAUAUUAUUGUCGUACAACUUUCAACAAUGGAUCUCUUGGUUCUC
This 271-nucleotide unclassified non-coding RNA is filed under the name Basidiomycota sp. Its description in RNAcentral is "partial contains small subunit ribosomal RNA, internal transcribed spacer 1, and 5.8S ribosomal RNA". The stretch from base 1 to 47 matches the Rfam family "Eukaryotic small subunit ribosomal RNA", at positions 1785 to 1831 of the family's 1831-position model. Lineage: Eukaryota; Fungi; Basidiomycota. The record is from RNAcentral.